UGGCUUCCAUCUGGAGAAAUCUGGAGACAGGUGCUGCAUGGCUGUCGUCAGCUCGUGUCGUGAGAUGUUGGGUUAAGUCCCGCAACGAGCGCAACCCUUGCCUUUAGUUGCCAGCAGUUCGGCUGGGCACUCUAAAGGGACUGCCGGUGUUAAACCGGAGGAAGGUGGGGAUGACGUCAAGUCCUCAUGGCCUUUAUGACCAGGGCUACACACGUACUACAAUGGCCGAUACAAAGGGCAGCGACACUGCGAGGUGAAGCCAAUCCCGUAAAAUCGGUCUCAGUCCGGAUUGGAGUCUGCAACUCGACUCCAUGAAGUUGGAAUCGCUAGUAAUCGUGGAUCAGCAUGCCACGGUGAAUACGUUCCCGGGCCUU
RNAcentral lists this ribosomal RNA (374 nucleotides) under uncultured Desulfobulbus sp. RNAcentral's name for it is "bacterial SSU rRNA". It matches the Rfam family "Bacterial small subunit ribosomal RNA", at positions 1011 to 1382 of the family's 1533-position model. The record is from RNAcentral. Lineage: Bacteria; Pseudomonadati; Thermodesulfobacteriota; Desulfobulbia; Desulfobulbales; Desulfobulbaceae.